UUUUUUUUUUGUAUCAAGGCUGUGAAUUGUUUUGAUUUUGUUUACAUAUGUAUAUUGGGGUUUGAUUGUUGGUCUCUUGCCAACAUUUUUGGCAAUUAUGUUCUUUUUUUGAUAAGAAAAAUGGUAGAAUAUUCAAUGUUAUUGCUUUAAUUCUUUAAAGAAUUUGAUGUUAUGGUUAUUCACAUAUCGUAGUUGUAAGAACUCUUGAAACACGAUUUUCUUUAUCGUGCAUUGAUCCACGCCUUUAGGGCCAGUGAUUUUUACACUAAUUGGAAUUUUUUUUUUCACACCAAAGCUUUGAUAAAUACACAGCCUAAGUUCUAUAGCCAGACACAUCUUGGAGAUCUACCAAGAAAUGCAUAUAAUAUUAUAAUUCUAAAGGGGCUUUAGUCUCUAGCAACCUUUGAAUCAUUUCUCUCUGUCAUGCCCAAAUAGCAUAGACUAAAGUGGAAUAAUUUUACAGAACGAAAGAAGCUAAAAGGAAGACCGUUGAUACCAAAUAUUUUGCCAUCUCAGAACUCUCUCUCAAGCCUAAAGGCAAAAGUCUGACCAUAUUAUAACAAGUAUUAAAAAAUUUAGACCGAAAUUGAGCACGCGAGGCUCAUAAUUGGUCCCUGUAGUUUGUCCAUAGUUUUCGAAAGCUUUCA
RNAcentral lists this long non-coding RNA (647 nucleotides) under Actinidia chinensis (golden kiwifruit). Its description in RNAcentral is "long non-coding RNA (ACHI_LNC000434)". Lineage: Eukaryota; Viridiplantae; Streptophyta; Magnoliopsida; Ericales; Actinidiaceae. The record is from RNAcentral.